CGAUGAGUAGGGCGGGACACGUGGUAUCCUGUCUGAAUAUGGGGGGACCAUCCUCCAAGGCUAAAUACUCCUGACUGACCGAUAGUGAACCAGUACCGUGAGGGAAAGGCGAAAAGAACCCCGGCGAGGGGAGUGAAAAAGAACCUGAAACCGUGUACGUACAAGCAGUGGGAGCACGCUUCGGCGUGUGACUGCGUACCUUUUGUAUAAUGGGUCAGCGACUUAUAUUCUGUAGCAAGGUUAACCGAAUAGGGGAGCCGAAGGGAAACCGAGUCUUAACUGGGCGUUAAGUUGCAGGGUAUAGACCCGAAACCCGGUGAUCUAGCCAUGGGCAGGUUGAAGGUUGGGUAACACUAACUGGAGGACCGAACCGACUAAUGUUGAAAAAUUAGCGGAUGACUUGUGGCUGGGGGUGAAAGGCCAAUCAAACCGGGAGAUAGCUGGUUCUCCCCGAAAGCUAUUUAGGUAGCGCCUCGUGAAUUCAUCUCCGGGGGUAGAGCACUGUUUCGGCAAGGGGGUCAUCCCGACUUACCAACCCGAUGCAAACUGCGAAUACCGGAGAAUGUUAUCACGGGAGACACACGGCGGGUGCUAACGUCCGUCGUGAAGAGGGAAACAACCCAGACCGCCAGCUAAGGUCCCAAAGUCAUGGUUAAGUGGGAAACGAUGUGGGAAGGCCCAGACAGCCAGGAUGUUGGCUUAGAAGCAGCCAUCAUUUAAAGAAAGCGUAAUAGCUCACUGGUCGAGUCGGCCUGCGCGGAAGAUGUAACGGGGCUAAACCAUGCACCGAAGCUGCGGCAGCGACACUAUGUGUUGUUGGGUAGGGGAGCG
Molecule: ribosomal RNA, 831 nt
Filed under: Escherichia coli
Lineage: Bacteria; Pseudomonadati; Pseudomonadota; Gammaproteobacteria; Enterobacterales; Enterobacteriaceae
Description: partial 23S ribosomal RNA
Rfam family: Bacterial large subunit ribosomal RNA
Source: RNAcentral